Molecule: long non-coding RNA, 643 nt
Organism: Lolium perenne
Lineage: Eukaryota; Viridiplantae; Streptophyta; Magnoliopsida; Poales; Poaceae
Source: RefSeq, a predicted model, not a curated record
GACGGUGGGUCCAAUAGCGUUGCACGAUCUUGGACCUCUUAGUUGGAUAAUCCACGAACGAGGAUCCACUGGACCUGGACCUGGUAGUCUCCGCCGCUCUCUCUCUCCCGGAUCACUGCAUCUGAUGAACGCCACCGCCCUCUCUCUCUCUCCCCGCCGGCGGCCACCCCACCCCCGAAGCUCGCCGACGUAUCUCCGUUUCCGUCUCCCCGUUUGAUGGCAUAGGGACUAGGGUUCACCUGCUUAAGACCUCUCCGCCGUCGCCACCACCCCGACUCCGACGAGCCACUUCGCUGCCGCCUGCACAACCCGACGCCUCCGUUCUUGGCCACCAAUACAAGCACCCUGACGCCCGCCCCUUCCAAUUGGUCAAGUUGUGCCGUCUCACCUGGAGCAGCUUAAGUUGCUGAUAAUCAGCGGUAGUACUCCAAUUGUCAGAAUAUCAAACAGUCAAACUGCAGAGCAAGCGCAGCUUCGUGAUGGAUGGACACAAAUUUAUAGUCCGACAUUAUCAUGUAACUUAAGUUGCCAUUUAUCGAGAAUUCAUUAUUGUUACUUUGGCAGUUGUUAGCCAUCUGUAUGCAUGCAAUGUAGCCCACAGGCUUGAGUUCAUAACUGUGAUAUGAUUUGAGUUCUGUCUUUA